Molecule: long non-coding RNA, 2372 nt
Organism: Zingiber officinale
Lineage: Eukaryota; Viridiplantae; Streptophyta; Magnoliopsida; Zingiberales; Zingiberaceae
Exons: 2
Source: RefSeq, a predicted model, not a curated record
AGGUAAGUCACUGGAGGAGAGUGACUGUGAGAACGCGUUCCCGGGAAGGGAACUUAGGCGCCGAUCCGACUUAGAACUAUUUCGGAACUCUAAGUCGAGAUCUUGACUAGAUUCCGAUCUCGGAGAGACGAAAUUUAAUUAAUACUCUCUUUGUUAAAUUAUAAGCUGUGCUGACAAUUUAUUUUGCAGGAUAUACAUUGUCUCGGACUAACCUUGUCUUGCAGGAGAAGGAGUUUCUGGAGAAAGGUGGUUUGGGCGCCCGGAGGCAAGUUUUAUCCUCCUCGCGUCGUCGCCACGUGGAGCCUCCUGGUUGGGUCGGCUACGUCAUGGUCGAGGCGCCCUGAAGGUUCCAGGCGCCCCGAGUCUCCUAUAUAAGGAGGGUCAAAGGCGGAGCUCCAACAACAACUCAGAAUUCAAGAUCCACUACUCUGUGCUCCUGCGACGCUGCGAACAGAUCUCCGACUCAGUGUUGUCUUUCAUUUUUUAUUCUAUAGUCGGUAUUUUCUUUCUAUCAGUUCUUGUACUUUAAUCUUGUAAUUCUAUUUUUGAAUUGAUAGUGAUUGCCCAUCGAAAGCACCCUCGUGUGCGAGCCUUGGAAUAGGAGUCACCAAAGGCUCCGAACCAAGUAAAUCGUUGUCUUCUCUGGCUUGUCUUUUGUCUUUCCGCUGUGAUUACUCUUUACGAAAGUUUUUUGUUGUCGAUAUUCACCCCCCCUCCUCUAUCGACUUUCACGAUCCAACAGUUUAUUAUUGAUGAUUGCCAUAGCUAACAAGCCUAUUUAUACAUAUUGCCAAGAUAAUAUAUGAAAAAUGGAUGUGAAUGCAAUCCAAACAUAGAAAGUUAUCAAUAAUUGAAACUAAUUUCUAAUUAAUAUCCUCGACUGCUAUUUUUGUUGUCAUCACUACCUUUGUUAUCAUCACCCUCGACAAACUCGACAGGGAGAUAUCGAAUGUUGAGUUUGGUUGCCAAUUUAUUGAAACAUCUUCAAUUAUAUGACUAAUCAAAUUUUCUAAAAUAAUGACCACUAGUAGAUAAAGAGCUGCAAAAAACUAUAGUUUUGUUGUUGUUGAAUUUCUGGAAGAGGACAGUGAUAACUAGUAUUUUUUGCGCAUUAUUUUGGCUCUUAUUCUUGGAAUUUUUAUCUUCUCGCAUGUUUAAUUAUGUAUUUAUAUUAUGUUUUAUGAGUAUGAUCUAUUUUAGACUUAAUUGUAAAUUUUCUAUAAAUUGUGGUAUUUAAUCUCAUAUUUUUAUUAUGGAUGUGUAAGAAAUCAAAAGAGUCAUCGAUUAGUAUCAAGUCGGAUCAAAUUUGACUUGAUUUGGAGGUCAAAUGAGGGAGAUCAAGCAGAAUUAAUAUGAGCCGUUGAUUCAGAUCCAAAGAUCUUGUUCCUUCAUUCAGAUCAAAGCCAUCCCGUCCUCAUCUAGAUUUGAAGCUAUGUUGACCAUCAGAUCUAAAAAGAUCCAUCUUCAUCAAAUCGGACGGCCCAGAUUAAAGGAGGAGAAAACCCUUUCCUUUAUUCUUCGCACGGCACAGUACCCACGGGGCCGUCUCUGUUCGCGACUUCUCCUCGAGCUAGGGCUCGCGACGCCACCGCCCUUCGUCACUUCCUCCUUCACCAACGGCCGGCGGCCACUUCUCAUCAUUCAUCGCUGCCGGCCGGACUUCUCCUCCACCUCUUCACAGCCGCCUGUCGGAGCUUCCCCUCACUUCCUCCAUCUGCCGGCCAUUGAUUUCCACUGCCGGCUCUUCCACAGUUCUUCUCCUUCUUAGAUUUCGGCGGCGAGCGACAGCAGUCUUCACCUCGCCGGAGAGGGUUUCUCCGGUGUGACCUCCACUUCCGACUCCCGUCCGAUAGCUUCUUCCAACUGGGGUUCAGGCAGCAGAGCAAGAAGGAGCGGCAGUUCAUCCAAUUUCACAGCGCCUCACGGCACCUCCAUUACUUCCGUUCAGCUUCCAUCCGAGGGGGUUCUUCGGUGGAAGAUCAUCGCCGUUGUUGAAGUGUGCACAGCCGGUACCUAUGCUGCUGUCCACUGGUUCUGGGGUUCUGGAGCUGGAAAUUGUGACGGCAGGGAGAAUUAGAAGAGGAGAAGUCAUCACCCAUUCCGCCUCAUUUCAGUCAGCAGUUCUUCAUCUGUUCAGUACAAUUGUUGGGUUGUUUCUUUCCUUUAAAGUUUUCAUGUGUUGGUUGAUUUGUUGAGUUAAUCAUUUGGUUGUAUGAUUGUUGGUUGUUGAGUAUGUUAAAUGCUUGUAUCGAAUUGAACUCCCUUGUUAAGGUUUUAUGCAUUAGUUUCAAUUUGAUGAUUUCUCACAACAUGUUCGGUAAAAUGCCUCAACCAAUUGUGCUAUUCUAAUUGAUGUUAUUUCUUUAGUGUAA